Molecule: long non-coding RNA, 512 nt
Organism: Culex quinquefasciatus (southern house mosquito)
Lineage: Eukaryota; Metazoa; Arthropoda; Insecta; Diptera; Culicidae
Exons: 2
Source: RefSeq, a predicted model, not a curated record
UCGCAGCAGGCUUUGUCAAACGUCAGCCAUCUUUCAACAGUUUGCCGAGCAAAGUGCAAAACUGAUUGUUUGUGUGUCGUCGUUUUGCGCGCCCCAAAAAUGAAGGCAAAGGAAAACGUUGCCGGAUGAAUCACGGUGUAGAUUCCGGAACCAAUUCCGCUGGCCUUAUCGCAGGUGGUCAACAAGGUUUGAUUACAUCGUCGGUCGUCAUCCAGCCAAAUCCAGAGUUGAAGGGUUUAAUUGCAAGUAAGAGACUGCGGUUAAAAGUUGCCUACAAAACGAGCCAUGGCCACACUGAUCCAGCUGAACCAUGUAACCCGUUCCGUCUCUAGUGCUUUGUUCGAGCAAUUCAAGGCCACCAAUUCCUGCCAGUUUGUGUUUUCCUGGGACGGGAACAAAAGGACAGUGAACAGCGAAUAUUUUAAGUUAUUAGUGUUAAUAGUUCAGUGCAGGUGAUCAUGGUGAAGAAAACUUUCAAUUUAUUGUGAAAUAAAAAAAAAACAAACUAUGAA